Long non-coding RNA from Monodelphis domestica (gray short-tailed opossum), 1711 nucleotides. RefSeq lists it as uncharacterized. NCBI's taxonomy places the organism in Eukaryota, Metazoa, Chordata, Mammalia, Didelphimorphia, Didelphidae. The record is from RefSeq and is a predicted model, not a curated record.
CCCGGCACAUCUUGGUGGAGGACGGUAGCAGUGAGUAGCCUCUGGAGGUGUUGAAUGAAUGUGUGGAGAAUGUUGUGUGAGAGUGAGGGGGUAAGGUUUCCUUAGUCGUUAACAUAUGGCUAAGUGGCUGACCACUGGUCACUGGCCCGGGGGUGUACAGGACGGCCUAUUGCCAAGCUAGAUUCAUUCAGGAGAACUACCCACCUAUUUCUGAGUGGGGACCGGGAAAGUACACAGUUUCUAUUUCCUGUGAGAGAAUAAGUUGGAAAUCCUGGGAAGUGUGUGGACGAAGACUGUGACACCCCUCUUGGCUACCUUCACCUAAGGAUCCCUGAUUCCUUCUCCCUUGGAUGGGCUGUGGGAAGGAUCCAUUGGACUCGACUCCCUUAAGCAGGGUAUCCUGGCUAGUUGAUUUUAGUUGACUUUAUUUGGGGUGGUUAGAGGCCCCCUGGUCAGAAUUUGGGGUGGUUAGAGGCCCCCCGGUUGGAAUUCAGGGUGGUUAGAGGCCCCCUGGUUGGAACUUGGGAUGGUUAGAGGUCCCCCAUUGGAAGUAGGAAACCCAGUGGAUGCACUGGAGGAAGGAGGUGCGGCCCCGGGGGAAGCCCGGCCACACCGCUCUGUUUUGGGGACCACUCACCCCUGGCUCCUUGGGUUGCUUCUAGGGUAGAAGCACUUUUGGGAGUCACCCAGAUGCUAUUACAACCUCUGCAACCAUCCCAGCCUGAAGCCCUGGACAUUGCCUACAGUCAAUACCUCUCUCCUGACAAUAGGCAAGGACAGCUCUACAACCAUUCUCAGCUCUGAAGAAGCUACAGAAAACUGAAACCAUUUCCCCUUUUCCCUUAGAUAUUUGGAGGGGGGGAGAUGACAUGGCAUUGUACCCCCAGAAAUUCGGGCAAACUAUCAUCAGUGAAAUUCCUUUGCUCCCUUACAUCCUCGUGACUCCUAGCCUAAAAUAUCUAAUGACCCGUAUAGGACCCUGAGAUGAUUGUGCUCCUUUGAUCCUCUUUUAUAUUUAAGAUGGACAAGGGAGGUGCUUCUCCAGGCUAUACCUCAAUUCUGUCGGGCUGUAUCUCACACCUGUCUGUUCUCUAAAACCAAAGAAUCUUUUAUGAGGGUCAUUACCUAUGUCCAAACCCCUGACCAAAUGCCUGAAGGUCUACUACUCUAGGUAUAGGAAGGGGAACCUCCAGCCUCACUGGAAAGGGCCCUAUGUUGUUCUUUGCUUUUAUGUUGAUCAUACAGGGCUAGUUCCAUGCAUUCUUAAUCGCCUAGUAGCCUUUGUCAAGUAUUGCAUUAAUACUGUCCAGCUCUGGUCCUUCACCAGCAAUAUCAAACCCUGACUCCUCCUGAAUCCCCUUAUGAUAAUAUGGUCACAUGAGGAAGAUUACUCAUGUAUAGCAGAAGUGGGGAAUGAGCCAGCUCCCAAACCCUUUCUUUCCCCUCCCUGACCCCUAACCCUAGGAGUUCCUGUCAUUCCCCCUCCUGACAUAUGCUAGGAGCCAUAAUGACCCUUAACCUCAGGAGUUCCUCUCACUCCCCCUCUUGACAUAUGCUAGGAACUGAUAAUACCCCAGCCCUAGGAAUUCCUGUGAACUCCCCCCUACCACAAAAGUGUAUAAAAAGCCUGCAAGACCCAGACUCAGGGCUGUAACCAUUUUUAGAUGAGCCCAAGCUGCAGUUUGUUUAAUAAACUCCUUCCUGUGUGUUA